Molecule: non-coding RNA, 4503 nt
Organism: Osmia lignaria (orchard mason bee)
Lineage: Eukaryota; Metazoa; Arthropoda; Insecta; Hymenoptera; Megachilidae
Source: RefSeq, a predicted model, not a curated record
UUUGCUGUUCAAAAACACACGAAUUCCAUUUUGAAUUUUUCGCCUACACCUAAUAGUUCCAGAGAUAUUCAAGAAAAUAUGUUUUGCAACCCCAACUUGAGGGCUAUUUUCACCGCAAAAAAAAAUACCUGUCAAAUAUUUUUUUCAGUUCUAUAUCUUACUUAAAGGGCAUCAAAAUCGGGAUGUGUCGAUUGGGUAAUGUCCCCUGUUAGUCUCCGUUCGCAAUGUUGACGAUUGAAAUUCAAUGACCGCCACUGUCUAAGAUUAGGCAAUAUCCUUUAGCACCGUGCGUCGCCGACUCCACGGACGCAUCCUUGGUACCUAUAGCGAAGCAUAGCGCGAGGAUCCUUGCUCGUUUUUGCGAACAGGUGAGUAGAACGAGAAAAGGUUAACAGGACUCGGCGAUAUUCCGUUUACAUUCUUCGUUGGAACUGGUUUCUCCCUCGACGGGGAUGGUCCUUUGGACCCUAGGAAGAUUGCCAAACACCAGAGAAGAAUCAACGACAUUAAAAUUCGCACGCCUAUGGAGACGAUAUACCAUAAAUAAUAACGAAUUAUAAUUUUCCGUAUAUUUCAAAAACAAAUUUCUUUUCCUCUACAGAAAGAAUAUAUCGGUUGCAACGGAAGCGUUAUAAAUAUAUCUGUUCCCGGGUAUCUCAUCAAUCACGAGGGAACGACAUGGAAGAUAUAAAUUAUAGGAUUUCAGAGAAACGAAAUUCGCAUCAUUUCAGAGCUGGUCGAGCAUAAACGUCGCCCCGUUUUCAAUAAUUAUGAUUUAUACCAGAAUUCAAAUGAACGUAUGAAAUAAAAAGCAGACGGAAGAUCGAGAAUUUCGUAGGCUGAUCAAGAAUGCGAUUCAAGCGCCUCUAUAUGCAAACAAAUGUUACAUUGAAUACGCGGAAGGGAACAGAGAGACAGUAAUAACAUCCGUUCGAUUAAGAUGCGACGGAAGCGUUGUUUGAAUACGAAGGAAGCCGGGGCUGAGAGAAAGAAAUGGCUCCCACCGAAAGAGAAAAAGAAACGGAAGAGUGCAGGAGAGAAGAAAGCAGCAACCGCGGUGCAGCUGUUUCGGUUAGGCCCGGUUGCACAAUGCACAAAGUUCGGGUUCUAAUUCUAAAGCCGAGUACCAAUCAGCCGUUGCAUUGUUCACCAAUGAAGAGGCUGGAAAUUUUUCGGGGUUAAUCGUUCCUUGAAACCUAAUAAGCGACGUGCACGCGGUUGGACGUCCUCUGGAGAACAGGAGGCUCGAAAAGAAAUCCUGGGAAAGGGAAGUGCGACUGAGAGUGGCGCAAAUUUUUAUCGUACACGCGAUAUCGAGUGAUUGGACGGUUGAAGUAUCGCUUGUUCGUAUCGAGCGAAAUAAUACGAGUUAAGCGAAGCGACUCUGCCAUGCAUUUAACCCGCUAUUAAUAAUGGCCGUUUACAAGGAACGAGAGGAUGAUCAAUCAGGUCCGGGUGGAAGGGAUGUUGAAAGCAGACAGCAGGGAAUGAGAGUACAGUCAAGGACAACGUACGUGACCACCGCAUUGCGACGACAGAUAAUUGGUAUUACCUCUUUAAAUGACAUUAAGGUAGGUGGACACCUCGAUACUUAGAAAGGUACCCAUUAGGAGCUUUGAACUUGGGUCCAAAGGGUAUGGCAGGAUAAGAUAGUCAAAAGUGCCCUUGAAACCCAUUUCUAAAAAAGUUUCAGCCCUGUAUCUCAACCGGGAGGGUAGUUACAGGGUAAAAUUGAAAAAACGGUUUUUGCCAUAUUUUCCCUAUUUAUUGGUAUUCAAAAAAUCUGAAAAAAUUCUAGAAUAUUCUAGACAUGUUUCUUUAUGAUUAUGAAUUUUUUCAGAUUUUUCGGUUGCAAAUCCUAGGCGUGAGAAAUGGAAAACGCAAAAUAAAGUCGAAAAAUUAAGAUUUCGGGUAGAAGUUUUUGAGACACUAGAUUUUUACUUUUAUAGUGGUUAGAUAUUAGCAUGACUGGUGUCCUCGAUUUUUUUCCGAUUUUUCAGUCAGGUGCGCUGUGUUUAAAAAAAUCGAAAACCGAUAUUCUCGACAUAUUUCGUGCGAUAACAUGAGAAAUACUUACAAUUUGUACAUUUCCUUUGCACACUUAUUGUUAGUGCAUUAUGUGAUUCUAACAUUUCUGCAAGAUCUAUGGAGCAAGAUCUGAAUGGAGAGAGUGAAGUUAUUGUAAAUAAUUGAAAAUUACGCUGUACCCUUUUAACAAUUAAAAAAGUAGUCAUUUGGAGGUUUGUCAGCUGCUCAUCUUUUAAUUUUUGGGAACUUGAAUAAAUUGAACAGGUGCAGUAUUGUCUCUCCAAAUGGCCACUGAUUUAGUUUCCCUUGAUGCUAAUUAGAAAGGGAAGCAAUUUAAGGAUUCGAGUAGAAAAUGGCAAUAAAAUUAAAAAAUGGCGGGGACCACAAUUUUCCAUGGUCCUGAAAAGCUAAGCUCACCAAGAAACAAAUCAUUUGGAGGUUUGUCACCUGCUCAUCUUUUAAUUUUUGGGAACCUGAAUAAAUUGAACAGGUUCAGUAUUGUCUUUCCAAAUGGCCACUGUUUAGUUUCAUCUGAUGCUAAUUAGAAAGGGAAGCAAUUUAAGGAUUCCAGUGGAAAAUGGCAAUAAAAUUAAAAAAUGGUGGGGAUCACAAUUUUCCAUGGUCCUGAAAAGCUAAACUCACCAAGAAACAAAGCUCCUAGGUGAUUGUAUAAAUUAUAAAUAGUUCGUUCACCCGAUACGCUUGAGACCGAUCCAAAAUCGUGUGUGCUUCGCGAAUGUAUUCUCGACUCGACGAAUGACGAGCCAGAGUUAAUUUCUUAAAGACAAGACAUUCACGAGACGCUAUUUACAAUGUUAGAUCAGAUGCAAAUGAACAGAGAGGCGUGUAAAUAUUGAAGAUACCAAUAGAGAAGUGUUGAAACUGUGGUUGCAAGGAUAACAAUUAAAAUAAACAAUCAAAGUAACUCGAUUUCUUCACGCCUUUUUCUUUACAUUUCCCCCUUUGGUUCUCCCUUCGGACCAUGAGAUAAACCUUGACCAAGUUAAGGAUAACCGCAUUAAAGCUCCACUCUCUGGUAAGCCAAUCAACCGAAGAAAGUGUUUAACGGAAGAUAAAUUAUUCGAUCUUUUUAGAAGUAUAAAAAUAUUUUGCUUAUCAUUCGUCACUUACCCGAUGAAACGCCGCAAGAUCAUUUUUAUUCUAAUCAGAGUAGAAUACCGUGAAACUCACCUGAAACAAAAUACAGAAUCAGUUAAAAAUUUGCAUCCAAUCAUUAACAGGUGAUUAUAAUUAAUUCGAUAGCAGGCGUGAUAAAAAUAGCGACUAAUAAUAGUUGGUGAACCAGAAGAAUUUUUUAUACCAAGUCUGUAAUUACAACGAUAAAUUGCCUUCAUCCAAGCCAAUUGAUUAUCUUGAAUAAUUAAUCAUGUUUGAAAAAAGGAUCAAAGUUGGUAAAGGAAAAAACAAUUGCAAUUAUUUCUCGAAUGCAUAAUCACCUUCUAAAUCGAGUUAACGACCGAGUGCAGUUGAAACUGUCGAGUGAAAUAUACCGUGUGAAAGAAAAUGGUAUUGGUGGAAUAAAAAUGGAGCAAAGUGUCAUUAUAUAAAAUGUAAUUUCGAAUAAAAUGAUUUUAUGCUUCGAUCAACAGUGUGUCUGGGUUCGAGGUGAUUACCAGCCGUGACCCAGCCGUUUCUUUGGAAAAUCCGCACUUGACCUAAUUCCUUGCAACGCUCGCGAUUUUCCCUGGAAGGUAGAAAAGCUUCGUCGCACGAAUCGCGUUUCACUGUGAAAUUGCAAGAGGAACCUUGACAUUCCCGCGAGAUCGGUAAAUGGAAGCUCGUCACGUGAAGUGUACUUCCGAGGGCCUUGUAACAGGAAAUCACCCCGGAGCUUUCUCGAAUAACCGAAUGAGGGUCGUUCGCGUCGCUAAAUAUACAUUCGGUCCCGGUGAACCGUGGUACCGCGAAAGGAGUUCAAACUAACAAUAACAAUUUUCUGAAUUUCUAUUUUUCCCGAUACAUGAAAUAGCGGCAUCAAAUUCAUGGAUUGUGUAAAACAAAAGAACAAUGCGCGUUGCUGGAAACGGGAGAACAAUAAAAUAGGACCUCGGUGCUGAAAUAUAGGUCAGACAAAUGAGCCAGGAUUAUCGCAAAGGAUGCGAUGCGCCACGUGUGACUGAAACAUUUAUGUAAUGCCGCGUGGUAUUCAAAUGAAGGAAAGGAAAAAAAGGAUCUGUAUGGUUACUUGGAAGUCGUUGAUCAAAGAAAUCGUCGAAGGGUUAAAAGGACGGUCAUCGAGGUGUUACUAAAAUUAUAGCCAGAGGCGGGUGUGAUAUAUAAACGUGUUAAUUUUUGCUAAUAUCAAAUAGCGACUGUGGCUUAUAUACCACUAAAAUAAAAAUAAAAUAAGUAGAAUAUCACUUCAGUAAUAUAAUUUCAAAUUAGAACGAUCGGCUGUGCUAAAAGUACCAGCAGUUGAAGGGUUAAAUAAUUUAAAAAUGAAAAGGAUAACUA